CCUACGGGUGGCAGCAGUGAGGAAUAUUGGUCAAUGGGAGAGAGCCUGAACCAGCCAAGCCGCGUGAGGGAAGACGGCCCUAUGGGUUGUAAACCUCUUUUGUCGGAGAAUAAAACCCGGGACGUGUCCCGUAUUGCGUGUAUCCGAAGAAAAAGCAUCGGCUAACUCCGUGCCAGCAGCCGCGGUAAUACGGAGGAUGCGAGCGUUAUCCGGAUUUAUUGGGUUUAAAGGGAGCGUAGGGGGUCCGUUAAGUCAGCGGUAAAAUUGCGGGGCUCAACCCCGUCGUGCCGUUGAAACUGGCAGACUUGAGUUGGCGAGAAGUACGCGGAAUGCGCGGUGUAGCGGUGAAAUGCAUAGAUAUCGCGAAGAACCCCGAUUGCGAAGGCAGCGUACCGGAGCCAGACUGACGCUGAGGCACGAAAGCGUGGGGAUCGAACAGGAUUAGAUACCCUAGUAGUC
RNAcentral lists this ribosomal RNA (459 nucleotides) under uncultured bacterium. RNAcentral's name for it is "partial 16S ribosomal RNA". It matches the Rfam family "Bacterial small subunit ribosomal RNA", at positions 338 to 795 of the family's 1533-position model. The record is from RNAcentral.